GACGAACGCUGGCGGCGUGCCUAAUACAUGCAAGUCGAGCGCAGGAAGCUCACGGAACUCUUCGGAGGGAAGUGAAGGGAAUGAGCGGCGGACGGGUGAGUAACACGUAAGGAACCUGCCCCAAGGAUUGGGAUAACUCCGAGAAAUCGGAGCUAAUACCGAAUAGUUCUUCAGACCGCAUGGUCUGAUGAUGAAAGGCGCUCCGGCGUCACCUUGGGAUGGCCUUGCGGUGCAUUAGCUAGUUGGUGGGGUAACGGCCCACCAAGGCGACGAUGAAUAGCCGACCUGGGAGGGUGAGCGGCCAGACUAGGACUGAGACACGGCCCAGACUCCUACGGGAGGCAGCAGUAGGGAAUCUUCCACAAUGGACGAAAGUCUGAUGGAGCAACGCCGCGUGAGUGAUGAAGGUUUUCGGAUCGUAAAACUCUGUUGUAAGGGAAGAACAAGUACGAGAGGAAAUGCUCGUACCUUGACGGUACCUUGCGAGAAAGCCACGGCUAACUACGUGCCAGCCGCCGCCGUAA
This 524-nucleotide ribosomal RNA is filed under the name uncultured bacterium. RNAcentral's name for it is "partial 16S ribosomal RNA". It matches the Rfam family "Bacterial small subunit ribosomal RNA", at positions 28 to 523 of the family's 1533-position model. The record is from RNAcentral.